This 332-nucleotide ribosomal RNA is filed under the name uncultured bacterium. RNAcentral describes it as "bacterial SSU rRNA". It matches the Rfam family "Bacterial small subunit ribosomal RNA", at positions 568 to 899 of the family's 1533-position model. The record is from RNAcentral.
UGUGUAGGCGGUUUGGUAAGUCUGGUGUGAAAUCUCCCGGCUCAACUGGGAGGGUGCGCCGGAAACUGCCGGACUCGAGUGCGGGAGAGGAGAGUGGAAUUCCUGGUGUAGCGGUGAAAUGCGUAGAUAUCAGGAGGAACACCGGUGGUGUAGACGGCUCUCUGGACCGUAACUGACGCUGAAACACGAAAGCGUGGGUAGCAAACAGGAUUAGAUACCCUGGUAGUCCACGCCCUAAACGAUGCAUAUUUGGUGUGGGUCAUUCAGUUGAUCCGUGCCGGAGCUAACGCGUUAAAUAUGCCGCCGUGGGGAGUACAGUCGCAAGGCUAGAA